Molecule: non-coding RNA, 748 nt
Organism: Camellia sinensis
Lineage: Eukaryota; Viridiplantae; Streptophyta; Magnoliopsida; Ericales; Theaceae
Source: RefSeq, a predicted model, not a curated record
AAAAAAAGAAAGGAAAGAAAAGAUUUACAAAAUUGUAAAAUCUUAAUGUAAACCACAAUAACUUGCUAUUUUUAAUGGACAAAAUAACUUGGGGGACCCCAUGAAAGUUUUACUUACAGACUGCAAAUCUGAUUUAUGAAAAAACAAAACGAACAAUAUAAGAUUGACAUUUACAAUUUUUAGUCAUGAUUUCUUCCUAUGUGGGUGAAUGUCAGUUGUGUGUACCCUAUGAAGAGCAGUUCCAAUUUCUGAUAUAUACUACCAACAAAAUAUCUCCUUAGUUUUUUUUUAAAUUAAAUUAAUGUUUAUGUAUUGCAUUGUAGGGAUCUCUCUUUCAACAACCUUACCAGUGAUCUUCCCAGUUCAUUUAUUGCAUUGACCAAUAUUUCUACUCUAACAACCAAUUAACUGGUUCUCUUAAUGUUCUGGCUAAUUUACCUUUGACAGAUUUAAAUGUUGCAAACAACCAUUUCAGCGGGUGGAUACCAAGAGAGCUUAUUUCUAUCCCUAGAUUUAUAUAUGACAGAAAUUCAUUUGAUAAUGGUCCUGCUCCUCCUUCACCACCAUAUACCUCGCCUCCCCCAGGUAGACCACAUAAUAAUCGAAGUCAUUCUCCUCCAAGGGCAGAUUCACCACAGGGAUCUGGUGGUCAAUCGUCCAAUCCAGACAAUGGAAAUAAAAAGGCACUAGCAGCUGGUCUGAUUAUAGGCAUAGCUCUAGGUUCUUCAUUGGUGGUCUUCUUUGCAAU